Molecule: ribosomal RNA, 884 nt
Filed under: Pediococcus pentosaceus
Lineage: Bacteria; Bacillati; Bacillota; Bacilli; Lactobacillales; Lactobacillaceae
Description: bacterial SSU rRNA
Rfam family: Bacterial small subunit ribosomal RNA
Source: RNAcentral
UUCGGCUCAACCGAAGAAGUGCAUUGGAAACUGGGAGACUUGAGUGCAGAAGAGGACAGUGGAACUCCAUGUGUAGCGGUGAAAUGCGUAGAUAUAUGGAAGAACACCAGUGGCGAAGGCGGCUGUCUGGUCUGCAACUGACGCUGAGGCUCGAAAGCAUGGGUAGCGAACAGGAUUAGAUACCCUGGUAGUCCAUGCCGUAAACGAUGAUUACUAAGUGUUGGAGGGUUUCCGCCCUUCAGUGCUGCAGCUAACGCAUUAAGUAAUCCGCCUGGGGAGUACGACCGCAAGGUUGAAACUCAAAAGAAUUGACGGGGGCCCGCACAAGCGGUGGAGCAUGUGGUUUAAUUCGAAGCUACGCGAAGAACCUUACCAGGUCUUGACAUCUUCUGACAGUCUAAGAGAUUAGAGGUUCCCUUCGGGGACAGAAUGACAGGUGGUGCAUGGUUGUCGUCAGCUCGUGUCGUGAGAUGUUGGGUUAAGUCCCGCAACGAGCGCAACCCUUAUUACUAGUUGCCAGCAUUAAGUUGGGCACUCUAGUGAGACUGCCGGUGACAAACCGGAGGAAGGUGGGGACGACGUCAAAUCAUCAUGCCCCUUAUGACCUGGGCUACACACGUGCUACAAUGGAUGGUACAACGAGUCGCGAGACCGCGAGGUUAAGCUAAUCUCUUAAAACCAUUCUCAGUUCGGACUGUAGGCUGCAACUCGCCUACACGAAGUCGGAAUCGCUAGUAAUCGCGGAUCAGCAUGCCGCGGUGAAUACGUUCCCGGGCCUUGUACACACCGCCCGUCACACCAUGAGAGUUUGUAACACCCAAAGCCGGUGGGGUAACCUUUUAGGAGCUAGCCGUCUAAGGUGGGACAGAUGAUUAGGGGGUGAA